AUGAUUGAAAAAUCGCUGGUUUGCCUUAUACUUAUAUGUGCCGGGUUCGCCCGGCUAUGAGGCUAAACGCCGUUCGAAAUAAGCGACGUGGACCCGGGGGCAGUGCCCGGCAGCUCCACCAAAGUCCGCAGUUACGAGCGAAGCGAGUGUUACGAGGACUUUGUCGCGCCGUAGCGGGUGAAACCCGCGGAGGCGGACAGAGAUGAAGCCCGCCUCCGCCCCCAAGGGGCUACGGCGCGGCGCUCAAAAUCCUCAGGCUCACUUCGUUCACCAGCGGAUUUUGGCGGGGCUGAAACAGGAUCGACACGCGUGGUAAAGGGAUGGUUUGUCUUCGGCAUUGUACCGCCGUUAUCGGGCUAUUUUAUAUUUGCAAACGACAACUUCGUCGUAGCGAAUGACAACAGCCGUGAGGCUGCUGUCGCUAUCGCUGCCUAAUUUAUUAGGCAGUUGUAGUGAGUAGCUGCAAAUCAAUCCCUGUCGUCUAGACAACGGCAGGUGGGGCCCGGGCCGAGCCUCGCAACAGAAUCGGCCCACU
This is a non-coding RNA of Micavibrio aeruginosavorus ARL-13, 535 nucleotides long. It matches the Rfam family "Alphaproteobacteria transfer-messenger RNA". From Rfam's summary of the family: Bacterial tmRNA, also known as 10Sa RNA or SsrA, is named for its dual tRNA and mRNA-like properties. Its role is to liberate the mRNA from a stalled ribosome. The record is from Rfam. Lineage: Bacteria; Pseudomonadati; Bdellovibrionota; Bdellovibrionia; Bdellovibrionales; Pseudobdellovibrionaceae.